This 75-nucleotide transfer RNA is filed under the name Asanoa siamensis. RNAcentral's name for it is "tRNA-Lys". It matches the Rfam family "tRNA". Rfam says of the family: Transfer RNA (tRNA) molecules are approximately 80 nucleotides in length. Their secondary structure includes four short double-helical elements and three loops (D, anti-codon, and T loops). Lineage: Bacteria; Bacillati; Actinomycetota; Actinomycetes; Micromonosporales; Micromonosporaceae. The record is from RNAcentral.
GCGCCGUUAGCUCAGUCUGGUAGAGCACUGGCCUCUUAAGCCACGUGUCGGGGGUUCGAAUCCCUCACGGCGCAC